RNAcentral lists this small nuclear RNA (95 nucleotides) under Anolis carolinensis (green anole). RNAcentral's name for it is "7SK RNA". It matches the Rfam family "7SK RNA", at positions 6 to 101 of the family's 331-position model. From Rfam's summary of the family: 7SK was discovered as an abundant small nuclear RNA in the mid-70s but a possible function has only recently been suggested. Two independent studies have found that 7SK RNA binds the CDK9/cyclin T complex (known as elongation factor P-TEFb). The record is from Rfam by way of RNAcentral. Lineage: Eukaryota; Metazoa; Chordata; Lepidosauria; Squamata; Anolidae.
UGAGGGUGAGUUGUCUGUGAAAUCUCCAAUUCCAUUGAUCCCUAGGAUGGAUUCAACUGAUCUGACUGGCAAGGCGUUAUCCCUUUCCUCCAUCA